UACGUAGGGUGCGAGCGUUGCCCGGAAUCACUGGGCGUAAAGGGCGUGUAGGCGGUCCGCUAAGUCUGAUGUGAAAGCCCGGGGCUCACCCCCGGAAGGGCAUUGGAAACUGACGGACUCGAGUCCCGAAGAGGAGGGUGGAAUUCCUGGUGUAGCGGUGAAAUGCGUAGAUAUCAGGAGGAACACCGGUGGCGAAGGCGGCCCUCUGGACGGUGACUGACGCUGAGACGCGAAAGCGUGGGGAGCAAACAGG
Molecule: ribosomal RNA, 253 nt
Filed under: uncultured bacterium
Lineage: Bacteria
Description: partial 16S ribosomal RNA
Rfam family: Bacterial small subunit ribosomal RNA
Source: RNAcentral